CCUACGGGUGGCUGCAGUGGGGAAUAUUGCGCAAUGGGCGAAAGCCUGACGCAGCGACGCCGCGUGAGGGAUGAAGGUCUUCGGAUCGUAAACCUCUGUCAGCAGGGAAGAACGGUCACGGGGCUAAUCAGCAGUGAAUUGACGGUACCGGCAAAGGAAGCACCGGCUAACUCCGUGCCAGCAGCCGCGGUAAUACGGAGGGUGCGAGCGUUAAUCGGAAUUACUGGGCGUAAAGCGCUCGUAGGCGGUAUGUCCCGUCAAGGGUGAAAUCCCCGCGCUCAACGUGGGAACUGCCUUUGAAACUUGCAACCUGGCUUGUGUGAGAGGAUAGUGGAAUUCCAGUUGUAGGCG
RNAcentral lists this ribosomal RNA (351 nucleotides) under uncultured bacterium. RNAcentral describes it as "partial 16S ribosomal RNA". It matches the Rfam family "Bacterial small subunit ribosomal RNA", at positions 338 to 681 of the family's 1533-position model. The record is from RNAcentral.